GGGAUUAGAUACCCUAUUAUAUUUAAAUAACAUAAGGUAAUAAUAUUUUUAAAAAAAACCUAUUUAUUUUGGCGGCAUUAAUCUUAUUAAAGGAACUUGUUUAUUAAUCGAUAAUCCUCGUUUACUUUCACUUUUAUUAAAAGUUUAUAUACCGUCAUCUUAAGAAUUAAUUUACCUAAAUUAUUCUAAAUAAAUAUAUUCUCAAAAGUUAGAUCAAGGUGUAACCUAUAUUUUAGUUUAAAUGAGUUACAAUAAAAAUUAUUUAAGGAUUAAAUAACUACAAUUAAAAUGAAAAAGGAUUUAAAAGUAAUAUUAAAUUAAAAAUUUAAUAUGAAUAAGACAACAAUGUGCACACAUC
This 358-nucleotide ribosomal RNA is filed under the name Parabatinga brevipes. Its description in RNAcentral is "partial small subunit ribosomal RNA". Lineage: Eukaryota; Metazoa; Arthropoda; Arachnida; Araneae; Ctenidae. The record is from RNAcentral.